CCCUUAGACGUUCUGGGCCGCACGCGCGCUACACUGACGAAGGCAACGAGCUUUCCUUUACCGAAAGGUACGGGUAAUCUUUUGAAACUUCGUCGUGCUGGGGAUAGAUCCUUGCAAUUUUUGAUCUUAAACGAGGAAUGCCUAGUAAGCGCAAGUCAUCAACUUGCGUCGAUUACGUCCCUGCCCUUUGUACACACCGCCCGUCGCUACUACCGAUUGAAUGGUUUAGUGAGGCCUUCGGAUCCGCGACUCGUUUGUGGAGAAGUUGGACAAACUCAGUCAUUUAGAGGAAGUAAAAGUCGUAACA
Molecule: ribosomal RNA, 307 nt
Filed under: uncultured eukaryote
Lineage: Eukaryota
Description: partial 18S ribosomal RNA
Rfam family: Eukaryotic small subunit ribosomal RNA
Source: RNAcentral